CGUGCAGGCGGUUCUGUAAGUUGGAGGUUAAAUCUCUCGGCUCAACUGAGAGGCGUCCUUCAAAACUGCGGGACUUGAGGAUGGGAGAGGAAAGUGGAAUUCCCGGUGUAGUGGUGGAAUGCGUAGAGAUCGGGAGGAACACCAGUGGCGAAGGCGGCUUUCUGGCCCAUUUCUGACGCUAAGACGCGAAAGCGUGGGGAGCAAACAGGAUUAGAUACCCUGGUAGUCC
RNAcentral lists this ribosomal RNA (229 nucleotides) under uncultured bacterium. RNAcentral's name for it is "partial 16S ribosomal RNA". It matches the Rfam family "Bacterial small subunit ribosomal RNA", at positions 568 to 796 of the family's 1533-position model. The record is from RNAcentral.